GUCCACGCCAUAAACGAUGGGCACUAGGUGUCGCGGGUAUUGACCCCUGCGGUGCCGCAGCUAACGCAUUAAGUGCCCCGCCUGGGGAAUACGGCCGCAAGGUUAAAACUCAAAGGAAUUGACGGGGGCCCCGCACAAGCGGUGGAGCAUGUGGUUCAAUUCGACGCAACGCGCAGAACCUUACCUGGGCUAGACAACGGUAGACAGUUCCAGAGAUGGAGCCUUCCCUUCGGGGACUGCCGGUUCAGGUGCUGCAUGGCUGUCGU
RNAcentral lists this ribosomal RNA (266 nucleotides) under uncultured bacterium. RNAcentral describes it as "partial 16S ribosomal RNA". It matches the Rfam family "Bacterial small subunit ribosomal RNA", at positions 793 to 1055 of the family's 1533-position model. The record is from RNAcentral.